GACGAACGCUGGCGGCGUGCUUAACACAUGCAAGUCGAACAAUGAAGCCUAGCUUGCUAGGUGGAUUAGUGGCGAACGGGUGAGUAAUACGUGAGUAACCUACCUUUAACUCUGGGAUAAGCCUGGGAAACUGGGUCUAAUACCGGAUACGACCAAUCUCCGCAUGGGGUGUUGGUGGAAAGCGUUAUGUAGUGGUUAUAGAUGGGCUCACGGCCUAUCAGCUUGUUGGUGAGGUAACGGCUCACCAAGGCGACGACGGGUAGCCGGCCUGAGAGGGUGACCGGCCACACUGGGACUGAGACACGGCCCAGACUCCUACGGGAGGCAGCAGUGGGGAAUAUUGCACAAUGGGCGCAAGCCUGAUGCAGCGACGCCGCGUGAGGGAUGACGGCCUUCGGGUUGUAAACCUCUGUUAGCAGGGAAGAAGAGAGAUUGACGGUACCUGCAGAGAAAGCGCCGGCUAACUACGUGCCAGCAGCCGCGGUAAUACGUAGGGCGCGAGCGUUGUCCGGAAUUAUGGGGCGUAAAGAGCUUGUAGGCGGUUUGUCGCGUCUGCUGUGAAGGCCGGGGCUUAACCCCGUGUAUUGCAGUGGGUACGGGCAGACUAGAGUGCAGUAGGGGAGACUGGAAUUCCUGGUGUAGCGGUGGAAUGCGCAGAUAUCAGGAGGAACACCGAUGGCGAAGGCAGGUCUCUGGGCUGUAACUGACGCUGAGAAGCGAAAGCAUGGGGAGCGAACAGGAUUAGAUACCCUGGUAGUCCAUGCCGUAAACGUUGGGCACUAGGUGUGGGGGACAUUCCACGUUUUCCGCGCCGUAGCUAACGCAUUAAGUGCCCCGCCUGGGGAGUACGGCCGCAAGGCUAAAACUCAAAGAAAUUGACGGGGGCCCGCACAAGCGGCGGAGCAUGCGGAUUAAUUCGAUGCAACGCGAAGAACCUUACCAAGGCUUGACAUAUACUGGACCGCAUCAGAGAUGGUGUUUCCCUUCGGGGCUGGUAUACAGGUGGUGCAUGGUUGUCGUCAGCUCGUGUCGUGAGAUGUUGGGUUAAGUCCCGCAACGAGCGCAACCCUCGUUCUAUGUUGCCAGCACGUUAUGGUGGGGACUCAUAGGAGACUGCCGGGGUCAACUCGGAGGAAGGUGGGGAUGACGUCAAAUCAUCAUGCCCCUUAUGUCUUGGGCUUCACGCAUGCUACAAUGGCCGGUACAGAGGGUUGCGAUACUGUGAGGUGGAGCUAAUCCCUAAAAGCCGGUCUCAGUUCGGAUUGGGGUCUGCAACUCGACCCCAUGAAGUCGGAGUCGCUAGUAAUCGCAGAUCAGCAACGCUGCGGUGAAUACGUUCCCGGGCCU
This 1347-nucleotide ribosomal RNA is filed under the name uncultured bacterium. RNAcentral describes it as "bacterial SSU rRNA". It matches the Rfam family "Bacterial small subunit ribosomal RNA", at positions 28 to 1381 of the family's 1533-position model. The record is from RNAcentral.